Molecule: ribosomal RNA, 254 nt
Filed under: uncultured bacterium
Lineage: Bacteria
Description: partial 16S ribosomal RNA
Rfam family: Bacterial small subunit ribosomal RNA
Source: RNAcentral
UACGGGGGGAGCAAGCGUUGUUCGGAUUUACUGGGCGUAAAGGGCGCGUAGGCGGUCAGCACAAGUCAGUUGUGAAAUCUCCGGGCUUAACUCGGAAAGGUCAACUGAUACUGUGCGACUAGAGUGCAGAAGGGGCAACUGGAAUUCUCGGUGUAGCGGUGAAAUGCGUAGAUAUCGAGAGGAACACCAGUGGCGAAGGCGGCCGACUGGGCCGAUCCUGACGCUGAGACCCGAAAGCCAGGGGAGCAAACCGG